Acanthosepion pharaonis is the source of this 86-nucleotide non-coding RNA. Lineage: Eukaryota; Metazoa; Mollusca; Cephalopoda; Sepiida; Sepiidae. The record is from the annotation of a GenBank genome assembly.
GUUGAAACACCAAUUCCCGUACGAUCACCGAAGUUAAGCAACGUCGAUCCUGAACAGCACCUAGAUGAGUGACCACUUGGGAACCC